CUCAACCAUAAACGAUGCCGACC
This 23-nucleotide non-coding RNA is filed under the name Arabidopsis thaliana (thale cress). Lineage: Eukaryota; Viridiplantae; Streptophyta; Magnoliopsida; Brassicales; Brassicaceae. The record is from RNAcentral.